This 336-nucleotide RNase P RNA is filed under the name pig gut metagenome. RNAcentral's name for it is "Bacterial RNase P class A". It matches the Rfam family "Bacterial RNase P class A". From Rfam's summary of the family: Ribonuclease P (RNase P) is a ubiquitous endoribonuclease, found in archaea, bacteria and eukarya as well as chloroplasts and mitochondria. Its best characterised activity is the generation of mature 5'-ends of tRNAs by cleaving the 5'-leader elements of precursor-tRNAs. Cellular RNase Ps are ribonucleoproteins. The record is from RNAcentral.
GGAUAAAUGAUCGCGGCUGCAAGUGUCGAAAGACCGCAGGUGAGGAAAGUCCGGGCUUCAUAGGGCAGGAUGCCGGAUAACGUCCGGUGGAGGUGACUCCCAGGCUAGUGCAACAGAAAUAUACCGCCAGCUUUUGCUGGUAAGGGUGGAAAGGCAGUGUAAGAGACUACCGUUCGUCUGGUAACAGGCGAAGCCAUGUAAACCCCAUCCGAAGCAAGACCAGAACGAAGCAUUGACGUGGCCCGCCAGCUUCAGGUAGGUCGCUUGAGGCGUAUGGCAACAUACGUCCUAGAUAGAUGAUCAUUCACGACAUAACCCGGCUUACAGUUCCACUCA